GAUGAACGCUGGCGGCGUGCCUAAUACAUGCAAGUCGAGCGAACAGACGCGGAGCUUGCUCCUCUGACGUUAGCGGCGGACGGGUGAGUAACACGUGGAUCACCUACCUAUAAGACUGGGAUAACCUCGGGACACCGGAGCUAAUACCGGAUAAUAUAUUGAUCCGCAUGGUUCAAUAGUGAAAGACGGUUUUGCUGUCACUUAUAGAUGGAUCCGCGCCGCAUUAGAUAGUUGGUAAGGUCACGGCUUACCAAGGCAACGAUGCGUAGCCGACCUGAGAGGGUGAUCGGCCGCACGGGAACGGGAACACGGUCAAGGCGCCUACGGGAGGCAGCAGUAGGGAAUCUUCCGCAGUGGGCGAAAGCUUGACGGAGCGACGCCGCGUGAGUGAUGGAGGUCUUCGGAUCGGAAAACUGUGUUAUGAGGGGAAAACAAAUGUGUAAGUAACUAUGCACGUCUUGACGGUACCUAAUCAGAAAGCCACGGCUAACUACGUG
RNAcentral lists this ribosomal RNA (497 nucleotides) under uncultured bacterium. RNAcentral's name for it is "partial 16S ribosomal RNA". It matches the Rfam family "Bacterial small subunit ribosomal RNA", at positions 28 to 507 of the family's 1533-position model. The record is from RNAcentral.